CAACCCGGGUCGAGAGGCUCGGCUGAGCCGGCAGGAGUCAGCAGAGGGCAUAGUACCUCGAAGGUCAUGAACUUCAGGGGAGGCC
This is a non-coding RNA of Thermosinus carboxydivorans Nor1, 85 nucleotides long. Lineage: Bacteria; Bacillati; Bacillota; Negativicutes; Selenomonadales; Sporomusaceae. The record is from Rfam.